Molecule: ribosomal RNA, 492 nt
Filed under: uncultured bacterium
Lineage: Bacteria
Description: partial 16S ribosomal RNA
Rfam family: Bacterial small subunit ribosomal RNA
Source: RNAcentral
AGUGAACGCUGGCGGUAGGCCUAACACAUGCAAGUCGAACGGCAGCACAGUAAGAGCUUGCUCUUACGGGUGGCGAGUGGCGGACGGGUGAGGAAUACAUCGGAAUCUACUUUUUCGUGGGGGAUAACGUAGGGAAACUUACGCUAAUACCGCAUACGACCUACGGGUGAAAGCAGGGGAUCUUCGGACCUUGCGCGAUUGAAUGAGCCGAUGUCGGAUUAGCUAGUUGGCGGGGUAAAGGCCCACCAAGGCGACGAUCCGAAGCUGGCCUGAGAGGAUGGAUCGCCACACGGGAACUGAGACACGGCCCAGACUCCUACGGGAGGCAGCAGUGGGGAAUAUUGCGCAAUGGGCGAAAGCCUGAUCCAGCAAUACCGCGUGAGUGAAGAAGGCCUUCUGGUGGUAAAGCGCUGUUGUUCGGAAAGAAAAGCAGCAGUUUAAUACGCCACGGUUCUGACGGUACCCAAAGAAUAAGCCCCGGCUAACUUCGUG